UACGAAGGGUGGACGACGUUACUCGGAAUUACUGGGCGUAAAGCGUGCGUAGGUGGUUUGUUAAGUCUGCUGUGAAAGCCCCGGGCUCAACCUGGGAAUGGCAGUGGAUACUGGCAAGCUAGAGUGCGGUAGAGGGUAGUGGGAAUUCCCGGUGUAGCGGUGAAAUGCGUAGAGAUCGGGAGGAACACCAGUGGCGAAGGCGGCUACCUGGACCAGCACUGACACUCAGGCACGAAAGCGUGGGGAGCAAACAGG
This 255-nucleotide ribosomal RNA is filed under the name uncultured bacterium. RNAcentral's name for it is "partial 16S ribosomal RNA". It matches the Rfam family "Bacterial small subunit ribosomal RNA", at positions 524 to 776 of the family's 1533-position model. The record is from RNAcentral.